Argiope bruennichi is the source of this 954-nucleotide long non-coding RNA. RefSeq lists it as uncharacterized. The record is from RefSeq and is a predicted model, not a curated record. The transcript has 2 exons. NCBI's taxonomy places the organism in Eukaryota, Metazoa, Arthropoda, Arachnida, Araneae, Araneidae.
AAAUUUUGUUUACUUGCACUGCGGCCGUAUUCACCAAACCGGUAGUUUUGGUUUCUUGAGUAGAAGAGCUGAGUUCUUAAAGUGGUUCGAGUGGAAAUAGCAUAUUUUAUUUUCUCCCUUGCGGUUUCAGUGUGGUAAACUUCGCUUACAAUUAUGUACCUUACCGACAGCAGCAUUUAUGAUCGCUUCAACCCACAAGAAUACAAUGAUUUCAACUUUUGGCGUGAACCAAUAAUGGAUAUUUCCUUGGAUGACUUGGAUACUGAAUUGAUGGAGAAAAAAGAUGAAGCAACUAUAUCAAGCCAGUUCGAUUCUUUUCUGUACUGGAGGGAUCCGAUUCCCGAUUUGGAUGAUCUAUAAAUUUUUUUUGUCUUGCAUUAUAAUGCUGUAAAUCUUGUGCAUCUUUAAGAAAGGAAAUGCUCAGUGUUGUUUAAUGCUAUUAUUUUGUAGAAAGUUGCUUAUAGUUGGCUUAUAAAAAUUUUAUUGCUGUACAAAUUAGCAUAUAUAUGUUUGCUCGUUGGAUAUAAGAUAUUUUACAUGCAAAUUUACUGGACAAACAUCGAUUUUACUGGCUUUGAUAUGCUGGUGAAAAUCAUAAUUCUAUUAUAUUGUAUUAUAUAUAUGGUUUUUCCUCUUGGAUGAAUUAUACAUUCCAGUAACUAAAGUAUUGUUUUUUUGAAAAUUUACAAUUCUGGAAGCAGUUUAAUUUUUAAAUGUUAUGUUACUUGAACAAAUUUUCAAUUGUGAUACCUAAUGUGAUAAUUCUAAGGGAAUUAUCAGGCAUCUGAAAAUUAAAUAAUCUGAAGGAAUAUUUGCAAAUAUUUCAGAUGUCUGUACAUGGUGAAACAAGAAUACCAUAUAUUCAUCUGGGAUAUGAUUUUGUUCCAAGUACACUAUGUAUAAAUUGCCUAUUUUGUAGCUUUGUGAAAUAAACUUUUCUUAAAAGUAAAAAAA